This 497-nucleotide ribosomal RNA is filed under the name uncultured bacterium. Its description in RNAcentral is "partial 16S ribosomal RNA". It matches the Rfam family "Bacterial small subunit ribosomal RNA", at positions 28 to 507 of the family's 1533-position model. The record is from RNAcentral.
GAUGAACGCUGGCGGCGUGCCUAAUACAUGCAAGUCGAGCGAACGGACGAGAAGUUUGCUUUUUUGAUGUUUUCGGCGGACGGGAGAGUAACACGUGUAUACCCCCCCUAUAAGACUGGGAUAACUUCGGGAAACCGGAUCUAAUACCGGAUAAUAUUUUGAACCGCAUUGAUCAAAAGUGAGAGACGGCUUUGCUGUUACUUAUAGAUGGUUCCCGGCGGCAUUAGCUAGUUGGUAAGGUAACGGACUACCAAGGCAACUAUGCAUAGCCGACCGGGGAGGUGGAUCGGCCCCACUGGAACUGGAACCGGGUCCGGACUCCUACGGGAGGCAGCAGUAGGAAACCUUCGGAAUUGGGCGAAAGCCUGACGGAGCAACGCGGCGUGAGUGAUAAAGGUCUCCGGAUCGUAAGCCUCUGUUAUUGGGGAAAAACAGAUGUGUAAUGAACUGUGCACAUCGUGACGGUACCUAAUCAGAAAGCCACGGCUAACUACGUG